RNAcentral lists this ribosomal RNA (694 nucleotides) under uncultured bacterium. RNAcentral describes it as "bacterial SSU rRNA". It matches the Rfam family "Bacterial small subunit ribosomal RNA", at positions 111 to 823 of the family's 1533-position model. The record is from RNAcentral.
UAACGCGUGGGUAACCUGCCUUGUACUGGGGGACAACAGUUGGAAACGACUGCUAAUACCGCAUAAGCGCACAGCUUCGCAUGAAGCAGUGUGAAAAACUCCGGUGGUACAAGAUGGACCCGCGUCUGAUUAGCUGGUUGGUGAGGUAACGGCCCACCAAGGCAACGAUCAGUAGCCGGCCUGAGAGGGUGAACGGCCACAUUGGGACUGAGACACGGCCCAAACUCCUACGGGAGGCAGCAGUGGGGAAUAUUGCACAAUGGGGGAAACCCUGAUGCAGCAACGCCGCGUGAGUGAAGAAGUAUUUCGGUAUGUAAAGCUCUAUCAGCAGGAAAGAAAAUGACGGUACCUGACUAAGAAGCCCCGGCUAACUACGUGCCAGCAGCCGCGGUAAUACGUAGGGGGCAAGCGUUAUCCGGAUCUACUGGGUGUAAAGGGAGCGUAGACGGUUUUGCAAGUCUGAAGUGAAAGCCCGGGGCUUAACCCCGGGACUGCUUUGGAAACUGUAGGACUAGAGUGCAGGAGAGGUAAGUGGAAUUCCUAGUGUAGCGGUGAAAUGCGUAGAUAUUAGGAGGAACACCAGUGGCGAAGGCGGCUUACUGGACUGUAACUGACGUUGAGGCUCGAAAGCGUGGGGAGCAAACAGGAUUAGAUACCCUGGUAGUCCACGCCGUAAACGAUGAUUACUAGGUGU